UACGGAGGGCGCGAGCGUUAUCCGGAUUUACUGGGUGUAAAGGGAGCGUAGACGGCAUAGCAAGUCUGAAGUGAAAGCCCGUGGCUCAACCGCGGAACUGCUUUGGAAACUGUUAAGCUGGAGUACUGGAGAGGCAAGCGGAAUUCCUAGUGUAGCGGUGAAAUGCGUAGAUAUUAGGAGGAACACCAGUGGCGAAGGCGGCUUGCUGGACAGAGACUGACGUUGAGGCUCGAAAGCGUGGGGAGCAAACAGG
Molecule: ribosomal RNA, 253 nt
Filed under: uncultured bacterium
Lineage: Bacteria
Description: partial 16S ribosomal RNA
Rfam family: Bacterial small subunit ribosomal RNA
Source: RNAcentral